RNAcentral lists this ribosomal RNA (450 nucleotides) under uncultured bacterium. RNAcentral's name for it is "partial 16S ribosomal RNA". It matches the Rfam family "Bacterial small subunit ribosomal RNA", at positions 354 to 796 of the family's 1533-position model. The record is from RNAcentral.
GUGGGGAAUUUUGGACAAUGGGCGCAAGCCUGAUCCAGCAAUGCCGCGUGCAGGAAGAAGGCCUUCGGGUUGUAAACUGCUUUUGUACGGAACGAAACGGUCCUGGUUAAUACCCGGGGCUAAUGACGGUACCGUAAGAAUAAGCACCGGCUAACUACGUGCCAGCAGCCGCGGUAAUACGUAGGGUGCAAGCGUUAAUCGGAAUUACUGGGCGUAAAGCGUGCGCAGGCGGUGCUGUAAGACAGGCGUGAAAUCCCCGGGCUUAACCUGGGAAUUGCGCUUGGGACUGCAGUGCUGGAGGGGGGCAGAGGGGGAUGGAAUUCCGCGUGGAGCAGUGAAAUGCGUAGAUAUGCGGAGGAACACCGAUGGCGAAGGCAAUCCCCUGGGCCUGCACUGACGCUCAUGCACGAAAGCGUGGGGAGCAAACAGGAUUAGAAACCCCGGUAGUCC